AGAGUUUGAUCCUGGCUCAGGAUGAACGCUGGCGGUAUGCCUAACACAUGCAAGUCGAACGGUGUCUUCGGACACAGUGGCGGACGGGUGAGUAACGCGUGAGAAUCUGCCUCUAGGUUGGGGACAACAGUUGGAAACGACUGCUAAUACCCGAUGUGCCGUAAGGUAAAAGAUUUAUUGCCUGGAGAGGAGCUCGCGUCUGAUUAGCUAGUUGGUGGGGUAAAAGCCUACCAAGGCAGCGAUCAGUAGCUGGUCUGAGAGGAUGAGCAGCCACACUGGGACUGAGACACGGCCCAGACUCCUACGGGAGGCAGCAGUGGGGAAUUUUCCGCAAUGGGCGAAAGCCUGACGGAGCAAUACCGCGUGAGGGAGGAAGGCCUUUGGGUUGUAAACCUCUUUUCUCAGGGAAGAAGAACUGACGGUACCUGAGGAAUAAGCAUCGGCUAACUCCGUGCCAGCAGCCGCGGUAAUACGGAGGAUGCAAGCGUUAUCCGGAAUCAUUGGGCGUAAAGCGUCCGCAGGUGGUUUUUCAAGUCUGCUGUUAAAGACUGGAGCUCAACUCCGGAAAGGCAGUGGAAACUGAGAAACUAGAGUUCGGUAGGGGUAGCGGGAAUUCCCAGUGUAGCGGUGAAAUGCGUAGAUAUUGGGAAGAACAUCGGUGGCGAAGGCGCGCUACUGGGCCGAAACUGACACUCAGGGACGAAAGCUAGGGGAGCGAAAGGGAUUAGAUACCCCUGUAGUCCUAGCUGUAAACGAUGGAAACUAGGUGUGGCUUGUAUCGACCCGAGCCGUGCCGCAGCUAACGCGUUAAGUUUCCCGCCUGGGGAGUACGCACGCAAGUGUGAAACUCAAAGGAAUUGACGGGGGCCCGCACAAGCGGUGGAGUAUGUGGUUUAAUUCGAUGCAACGCGAAGAACCUUACCUGGGCUUGACAUGUAUGGAUUAGUUCAUGGAAACAUGAAUGACGCCCUUGGGUGGAACAUACACAGGUGCUGCAUGGCUGUCGUCAGCUCGUGCUGUGAAGUGUCGGGUUAAGUCCCUUAACGAGCGCAACCCUUAUCGCUAGUUGCCAGCGCGUCAUGGCGGGGACUCUAGCGAGACUGCCGGUGUCAAACCGGAGGAAGGUGGGGAUGACGUCAAGUCAUCAUGGCCCUUACGCCCAGGGAUGCAAACGUGCUACAAUGGCGUGUACAAAGCGAUGCAAUAUCGUGAGAUGGAGCAAAUCGCAAAAAGCACGCCUCAGUUCGGAUUGGAGUCUGCAACUCGACUCCAUGAAGCUGGAAUCGCUAGUAAUCGGAGAUCAGCUACGCUCCGGUGAAUACGUUCCUGAGCCUUGUACACACCGCCCGUCAAGUCAUGGAAGCCGGGAGUGCCCGAAGUCGCCCUAUUUCAGGGGUGCCCACGGCAAGUUCGGUAACUGGGACUAAG
RNAcentral lists this ribosomal RNA (1428 nucleotides) under metagenome. RNAcentral's name for it is "bacterial SSU rRNA". It matches the Rfam family "Bacterial small subunit ribosomal RNA". The record is from RNAcentral.